CCUCAUUGUCAAAGCCUGAUAUCAUCAGAAGCCAAGUAGGACAGGGCCUGGUUAGUACUUGGAUGAGAGACCACUGGGAAUAUCCGGUGCCACAGUGGAGC
Molecule: ribosomal RNA, 101 nt
Filed under: Periophthalmus magnuspinnatus
Lineage: Eukaryota; Metazoa; Chordata; Actinopteri; Gobiiformes; Gobiidae
Source: RNAcentral